RNAcentral lists this small RNA (473 nucleotides) under uncultured Glomus. RNAcentral describes it as "SSU rRNA". It matches the Rfam family "Eukaryotic small subunit ribosomal RNA", at positions 569 to 1047 of the family's 1831-position model. Lineage: Eukaryota; Fungi; Glomeromycota; Glomeromycetes; Glomerales; Glomeraceae. The record is from RNAcentral.
AGCAGCCGCGGUAAUUCCAGCUCCAAUAGCGUAUAUUAAAGUUGUUGCAGUUAAAAAGCUCGUAGUUGAAUUUCGGGGUCAGUAGAUUGGUCGUGCCACUGGUAUGUACUGGUCUUACUGGCUCCUCCUUCCUGAUGAACCGUAAUGCCAUUAAUUUGGUGUUGCGGGGAGACUGGACUGUUACUUUGAAAAAUUAGAGUGUUUAAAGCAGGCUAACGCUUGAAUACAUUAGCAUGGAAUAAUGAAAUAGGACGUUCGAUCUUAUUUUGUUGGUUUCUAAGAUUGACGUAAUGAUUAAUAGGGAUAGUUGGGGGCAUUAGUAUUCAAUUGUCAGAGGUGAAAUUCUUGGAUUUAUUGAAGACUAACUACUGCGAAAGCAUUUGCCAAGGAUGUUUUCAUUAAUCAAGAACGAAAGUUAGGGGAUCGAAGACGAUCAGAUACCGUCGUAGUCUUAACCAUAAACUAUGCCGACU